GAACAUCAAAACUUUAAAUCAAGAUUUCUCACUCAAUAUUGCAUCAUUUUAAAAAGUAAACACAUCUACAUCAUCACCAUAGCAUGUAGUUUCAUUUAGGCAUAAGAAAUGAAAAAUCAAGAUUUCUCACUCAAUAUUGCAUCAUUUUAAAAAGUAAACACAUCUACAUCAUCACCAUAGCAUGUAGUUUCAUUUAGGCAUAAGAAAUGAGCGAAAUAAGAGAGUCAAAAUUUGAGUUACUGGAAAUGGCGCCUUCCAAAACUUAAGUAUGGUGAUGAGAUACGCUCCAG
Molecule: long non-coding RNA, 290 nt
Filed under: Lathyrus oleraceus (garden pea)
Lineage: Eukaryota; Viridiplantae; Streptophyta; Magnoliopsida; Fabales; Fabaceae
Description: Pisum sativum (pea) long non-coding RNA (PSAT_LNC034409)
Source: RNAcentral